Struthio camelus australis is the source of this 1896-nucleotide long non-coding RNA. NCBI's taxonomy places the organism in Eukaryota, Metazoa, Chordata, Aves, Struthioniformes, Struthionidae. The record is from Ensembl.
GUCUGCAGAAGGGAAAAUACAUGCACAUGCACACACAUAUGCAGAGCAUUUACAUAAAAUGAGAGAAAAUAGGCCUGGAUGGUUUUUGAGGGGCCACCUGGAAAGAUCUGUUAUUUCUUCCAUGCACUUCUGCAAUUUCCACAAAUAAGUUUGUAUUGGAAAAUAAAAAGAGGAUGAGACUCCGGAUGCAUUCAUUUUCUUGAGCACACUAUGCCACUUUAAAAAUAAGCUUUAAAUGGCAGGUAAUUGUUUCCAUAUUAAGGAAGGCUUAAGGAUGACUGACAAGAUCUGCUUUUGCAGCUCUGAUUUCUGCUAGUCAAAUCACCGAGGACGAGAGUGAAUAGGGCAUAUUUAGAAAAUGUAUUUUUAAAGCUAGGCUUUCACUGAACUGUAACUCCAAGCAAAAGUGAAGCUUCCCCAACCAGCUGUGGCUAAAAUACAGGGGAAAAAAGAAAGAAAGAAAGAAAGAAAGGCAUAAUAAAGAAAAGCUGCUAUAAAACAAAAUGGUGGUUAUAGCAGACAUGCACGCAAACCCUGAGCCCUCAUCUAAGGCUUGAGACCAAAGCUGCACACUGCCAGCACACGGCUCUGUGCAACCGUAUCCUCCCACCCUGGCUGCCACUGCUUCAACAGUGCCCUCCCUGUGAUCUGCUUUUGCUGUCCCGUGGCCUUGUGUCCCCUCCACAGUGGUCUCAAAGGACUCCAUGCAGCGUGGGGGACUGGGAAAGCAAAGGGUGCUCAUCUCCUCAGCCCAGCAGGCAAAGUCACUGAGAACUGGAUCAUCUGCGUUUGUUUAUCCAUACUGGAACAGAGAAGCAGCCACAGAACUUGAAAAUUGUCCUCAGCUGAGACCCCAGACACACUGAAAACACGGACAAGCUUGGAAUCAAAAGCUGCAGGACAGGAAAAUUCAUCCCAGCAACUCUUGAGAAGCAGCAGUUUUAGAUUGAGAGAGGAUUCUUUCUACUUUAUUACAGCUUCGUCCUAGAGUUCAAGAGACCUAGUGUGGGCCUCUACUACCCAGCCAUAGCUGUAACCUCUGAAAUUUAUCAUGCUGUUCUGCAAGGGCUUGAUUCCUCUGCUCUCAGAAGUUCACCUUCCUAUAAUCAGUCCACUGACUUCCACAGCUGCAUUUCCAAUUAUAAGGAUUGUGGAACUGGACACAGCUUUCUAAAUGUCUUUUGUCCUAUUACCAGCCCUUUGUCUACUUAUUUACAUGGUUGCUACUGCCACAGUAUCCAAGUACUAACACUAGUCCUCUUUCAAACAACAAAUGGGGAAGGAAAGUGUUCUAGCCACUCUACAGAAGAAUGGAAGCAGCGAUUUAGAUUCCAGUCCAAAAUAAUAUGUAGGUUCCCAAUUCCUACUGCCAUUAAUGUUAAUGGCAAGUUAGAAGAAGUCUAAAGUCUUCCUUUACUUUAGACUUUAGUGACUUCUUCAAGGUGCAAGAAACUUAGGCCAAGAAAGGAGCAGAGGUGUAUUUAUAUACAUAAUAGCUAUUUCAUACUGCCAGCCAAAUAACAACCACAAGUGUGACCCCCUUCUUUUGCCUAAAGCCACUGCAGUCAUUAAAAAAGGUAUUUUCUUUCAGAGCUUUUCCAGCUUAGGUGUCUGUUUCAUGAGUCCUCAGCUUAGGUGUCUGUUUCAUGAGUCCUGGCAAUUCUGAAGCUCAAGGAAUCUACAAACACAGUCGUAGUCCUUUUGCUUACGGAAAGGAAAAGAGUCAGAGGGCCACUGGUUCAGGAUAUAAGACAGGUCAAAAACAUAAGUUAAAAGAAUAAUAUUUCUAAACUCUGUAAAUAGCUAUCAUGGUAAAAAUACUUCUUUCCACUCUCACUUUGUAAACAGUAAGUAAAUUCAUAAACAAUAAAUUCUAAGCUAUUAGGGAAAAUGCCA